RNAcentral lists this long non-coding RNA (9246 nucleotides) under Brassica napus (rape). RNAcentral describes it as "long non-coding RNA (BNAP_LNC025183)". Lineage: Eukaryota; Viridiplantae; Streptophyta; Magnoliopsida; Brassicales; Brassicaceae. The record is from RNAcentral.
ACUAAUGGAAGCCCAUUGCUCCCGACUUCAAGGCAGGUGCAUCUGGUGGCGGUGAAGGUAAAACGGUUAACGCUAAUACUCCACUAAUGGCCGCUGCGAUUGCUCCGACCACAAAUACCGGUAGGUUUCCACCACCGAAGAGGGCGUCAAAAGAUCCUCCUCCAAGUGAUACUAUCAUUUGUGGUAUCACAAUUGCCAAAUUUAAAACUCCUAUCGAAAGUCCUGUAAACAAACAAAAAGAAAGAAACACUUUAAAAGUCAAAUUUAAAUAUUAUGUUAUAAAGGGAAACUAUUUUUAUUUAUGGUAGUACUGGAUGAAAUGAAACAUACGAAUUAGUAAAAAAAUCUCACCCAACUAAUGCUAUGGAUAAACUUAUCGAUAUUGUCCACAUAAGAUUUUGAGAAAAAUAACAAAGGAAAGAUUUAAUCCUUUCUUUCUUGACAAAAUGGAAAAAGUUAACUCUAAAUGAUAAUUUAAUUGGAAACAAAUCUCUCUCGCUCAUUAAUGUAUUCAAAUCAAACGUUUGAACUUAUUACAUGGUAAUUUAAUUGGUCCCAAAUUGUCAGACGAUAAGAUUUCUUAAUUAACAGGAGGAGAUAAUAGAUUUUAUAAGUAAAUUAAAUUACAACAAAAGUUACCUUGGCCGGCGCCGGAGCUAUUUGAAAAUAUGGAGGCUAGUGCAAAUGGAAUACUGAAAGUAAUCUGUAAAAAAAAGGUUUAUUAGUAUAUUUAACUAAAAAUAUAAAAAAUGUAAUAAAACUCAAAUGAAGACAAAAGCUGAAAUACUUACAGCUAAUGGAAUACCAAGGACAGCAAAGAGACUCAACGCUCCAGCUCUCACUCCAGACGACGGUCUGGCAAACUCACCGGCAGUUUUCCGGUGUUCCUCCGCCUGUUUCGAAAUUAGAACCGUCAUGGCCAAGCCUAUGGCAAGGAUAAAGUUGACAAUCCCCCAAAGCCGUUUAGCUCCUCCCACUUUCCGACCAGUCCACUCAACACCAAGUGACAUAAACAAAAGAACUAUCGAUUGAAGCAUCAAUCCCAAUGCACCAGCGUGUACUCCUUUGUUGUAUAGUUUCACCAUUCUAUCGUCUCCUCCUGAAUCUCCACCGUACACUUCACGACCCAUCCAAUCAGUAUCAAACAAAAGAAACGGGAACCAUGCAAUCCAGUUUAGAGCCGUGACGAUAAGUAGCAUCCACAUGGGACGUUGCAUGACUUUAAAAGCUCCAAGGAUUUCUCCAAGAAACGGAACACUCGAUGUCUUCUCGUCUCCGGAGUUUACCGCCGGAGACCAUUGUUUGUCUUUAACGUACCAGAGAGACGAGACGGUGACGAUGAUGAGGAGUGUGAUGGACAAGAAGAAACAAGACUUGAGAUUCGCGCAGUAGAUAUCACAAGCUUUGGUCAUUGCGAACGGGAACAUCUUGUGGAGGUUAGUGUAAGAACCUGCCACGUAAGAAUUUUAUUAUAUUUCCAAAUUAUACUUUCAUACGAGAUGCAUUCAUUCAUUGUAAUUUUUUUUUGAAUUGAAUAAAAUUAAUAUUCAUUAAAAAAAAAUAAACCUGCGGCGUAUCCCAAAACGUUUCCAACCGCCAUAAAGAAGGAGAAAAACCCGUUUGCGACUCGCGUUCUUUUAGCGUCUCCGGCGGAUAGGUCGGCGAGGAAAGCACGGCAAGGUCCUUGGAGGGUGUUGUUAGCGACGUCGAGGAUCCAGAACCCGAAAGCGAAGAUCCCUAUGGCUCGAACCCUCGGGGUUUUCUGCUCGAGUUUGUCUCCCAUUUUAUGGCCGAUAUCCGCGGCGUAUCCGAUCAAGAACACGGCGACGGCGACCAGGGCGGCUCCGGCGGCGAUAAAGGGACGGCGGCGACCGAAUCUUGAGGUGCAUCUGUCACUGUGGUAACCGACGAUUGGUUGAACAAUCAUGCCGGACACGGGACCACAUAGCCAGAUGAGAGAGGACCAUUUGUGACGGAUACCAAGAAGCUGAACGUAAGGAGUUAGGAGAGAGAGCUGUAGGGCCCACCCGAACUGUAAACCGGCUGCGAUGGAAGCGACGGAGAUGAUUUUACGGAGGGGAGAUGGCUGGUCGAAAUCUUCCUCUGGUGACUGCAACGUUGGCUCUAUCUAUUAUCAACAACGUUAUAACUCCAGCUCAUCAAGAUAGUCUUUCCUCAACAAUUGACUAAACAUGUGCUUUAUAACUAUCUUUUUUUUUUUUCAAAUGGUACUAACCAACCAAGGAAAAAAUACUGUAGAAGACUAAAUUAAUAAAACAUCAGAGAUGCAAAUCUUGAAUUCAAAACAUUCAGUUAUAUGCUUGUAAGAAGACCAGUUUAGGCAAAACCGAGCUCUGUUUAUACAAUCUUAAGAGGUCAGAAAAGGGUUUAUGCGUGGGUGGUGUGUACUAACGCCCUACGUUUGAUGAGCUCACAGCAUAUUUACCAAAAAGAACAUGAGCUGGACUGAGAUCUCGUCCUCUUUGCCCCUUUUUACUUUUGUCGAUCUUCUUGAACCAAGGUCCAUGUUCUUGGUAAUCGAGACAAGGGGAAAAAAGUUGAGGCUUUGUGGCUUGCCGUUGUUAGGCUAGGAAACAAUUAAUAACGCUUUUAUGGUGACCCCAGGGACUCUUGGCGUCUAAGUGGAAUGUCUUCUGAUUCAAACCCAUCCUUAUCAGUAUGCUUGCUUCUACGCAAUGGUAAUAUUACCGGCGAACCUGUAAUAACAUAGCCAUAACAAUCAGUUGCGAACUCUCAGAGCAGAUGGAUACAGACACUUGGUAUUAAGAUUAUAUGUACACAACAUAUGGCAAUCAUGCAUAGCUAUGUUCCUGAAACUCUAGCUAGUAGUGUUACAUAUAUAUUCAUUAUGCAUAUCAUCGUUCCUCAUAGCCGUAAAUGAAAUAAAGUAGCCAUAUGUUGAUUCAGAAAGUAUUGUAACAAAAACCACACGUUCCUGUGACAAUUUGAGUACCAUUUUGCCAAUCCAAGUCCUAUUUAAAACCCACAAAAAGCAGUCAUUUGAUUCAUGUACCAAAGCAACAAUCUACAUACAACGAGAUAUGUAAAACUGAUAAACAUGAUAACACUGGCCAAUAUAGUUAGCGAUGUGAGCAUUACGUAGUACAGGAGAGAUACUAUAGCUGUAUUGAAUGUAUCAAGAGCCUGCAAAUGGAAAGCAGUCAAAGCAACUAGUUUAGUUACCAAGAAGACAUCUUACUACAAAACUAUUAUCAUAAAGAACAUUUAAGUACACUUACUUUGUUUAAGUAGUUCAACUGGGUUGUCACUUGUCACACAGAUAUAGCCUAUAGAGUUGUUCCAAGUGCUUUUACAUUCAUUACCUGUUCACAUGUUUGAAAAUGUUGAAAUACCAAAGCCAAAAGAGGAUCUGUAGACUUUAAAUAUUAAGAACUACAUACCGAUAAUGAUCCCACAAGGGAACAAAUACCACUAUAGACCAUGACGUUUGCCUGACCAUAUUGGGGGCAGAAACGUAUAAUAAGAAAUACAGCAGCCCCAAUGAUCAGGCUCCCAUAGCACAUGAAUGCUGCAACAAACUUGAUGAAAAUCAUGAGAUGGUUUAAGUUCUAUCUCUCAUACAAUAGAGCAUCACAGUCCCAUUCAUACAACGCACCUGGUUCUGUUGCAAGAUUCCAAACUUCAAGCACAGAAUCCAUUUCUUGUUCUUGAGAGACAUGACAAUUGUAGUGGAACCCACAACACAUAAAGCACAGCCAAGAACUCAAAAGAUGUGUAGUUUCUCCCGUAAUAUGAUAUGAGCCAAGACAGCACUGUGAUUCAAAGCAAGAAAAAAGUGUAUAAGAAAAAGCAAAACAGGUGAAGAGCGAGACAUGAGUAGAUUAUCUUGCCUGAUAAUGAUACUGAGUGCGCCUAGAGGAGUGACAAGUAUAGCCGAUGCAAAUGCUUAAGAAGCGAAAUUGGCAAUCUCACCAAGUAACACUGGAAGUAGCAGAAAACAAAAGGGUAAAGGGCUCGCUUGUUGUCAUGCCGAUCCACCAACGAGGCUCGUCAAGAUAAGAGUAUAUUUCCGGCGCCACCAUUCUUUUUUCUCUUUAGUUAGAAACAAAAUAUUUACAACUAGAGCAGCCCGAUUAUAAAUUGAAAAUAAUUUAAAUAGUUAGAAUAAAUUUAUAUUAUUAAAUUUGAUAUAUCAGUCACAAUCAGUCAAAUGCUUUGUUGGGUUAAAACUAUAAUAUAUAUAUAUAUAUAUAUUACUACUCCAAAAGCGGUUAAAUUUCCAUUGAAAUUUUGCGACUUUUGAUUAAAUAUUUUUAACAAAAUACAAAUAAUCACAAAAACGUACGAAAAUAGUUUACAGUAAAAUAUAUUCCAUAUAAACUACUCCCUCUGUUCCUAAAAGAUGUAUGUUCUGGAAAAAAAAAUUGUUUCAAAAAGAUACAUUUUUUACUUUUUCAAUGUAUGAUUUUAUGAAAAAAUUGUAAGUUUCAAAAAAUUAAUGGUGUUUAUUGAAUUUCUACUGGGUAAAAGUUAUGAAAAAUUGUUAUUCACAAAAAACAAUGCAUGUUUAAUGAGUUUUCUUAAUAUAUGUGAAAAGUCUAGAAUAUGCAUCUUUUAAAAACAGAGGGAGUAAUUAAUAAUUUAAAUAUUGCUUUUAAUACUUGCAUUGUAUUCUUAAUAAAAAUUAUUAGUUAGGUAAUAAAAGGAUAACACUAUUUGUUUUUUUCUUAAUACAACGUCACAUUAAUAUGAAAUAAACUUUUUGACGAUUAUUAAAUAAUUUAUUCUUUGAUAAAAAUGAACUGAAUUCUUUUUCCUUAUUUCUCAAAAAGUUUGAAUCUCAGUUAAAAUACACAUCUAGAGUUUUAUUUUGUCUUAAGCUUCUUCGCAUGGAGAUUGAAACAUGCACACAUAAAGAUGGAAAUACAGAUCUAUGGAAAAACUACCAAAAUCUGAAGAUCUAAAGACAAUUAUGUAAAUAUAAUGAAAUCACAAAAACUCUAGGGAUUUAAAAAAAAAAAACAAAAGGGAAAAGGUUAAUGUGACAUGGUUAUAUCUGAAAACAUGGCAACAUAUUCAUCUACUUUUUUUUUUGGAUCAACAUAUUCAUCUACUUUAACACCCAAAAAAGAAGUCUUUGUUUCCUUUCUGAAGAGCUGGCGAAGAUGUACUCAGCUGCUGUUUGGCAAGCAUGGUCCAUUCCUUUCCCUCUCUCUAUCACUGCUAUAGGUGGUGCACCGUGCUUAUUUUCCCUCAUCAAAAUUCAUAUCCUCUUUCCUCGCUAUUUUAGACUUAUUGGUUGGUCGUUACAUCCAAAAGACCAUCACUGGCAGCUAUUAGACAACCUUCUUUUCUUGACCUCGGCAAAAAUGUUACUUCUGGUUCUAGGAUCACAAAUAGCUUCAGAUAUUUUUCACCUUCACUAUGGUCCAUUGGAGGAAACACACCAACGAUCUAAUGUUUCUUGAGGGUAUGAAAUUAAUAAGCCAACUCUGAAGACAUUCAUAGAUGCAUUACACGUAAUCAAAAGAAGCAUUGCUUAUCAAGGGACGCAGCCACAUAGAUAACACCACAUACAUGAGCGCCUUUUCAUUGUAUAAACUUCUCCCUAGCAUUUUUUUAUUAUGGCAUAUUCCCUCUAUAUUUGGCUGCAAGAAACAUGAAGUGUUAAAAAUCCAUCAGGUCGGUAAGAUUUCAGAUUGUUUAAGCUCUUAUAUAGAAAGCAAAAGAAAGAAGCUCAUAUUUUACUGUGUUUGACUGAUAGGGGCAUGGCUUUUUUGCCACAUAACAAUGCCCUUAAAUGACAAAACUCAUAUCAACAAAAAACUCUAAACAUAUAUUUGAAAUGUUGAAUAAAGAAAAAGAAAGCUAGGCACUGAAGAUAAUAAGCUUGACGUAUAGAACAACAAAUAUGAGUUCAGUUUAGCGCAAACCUUGUAUCUGAGAUGAGGAUUGCGGAGACGAAGCAUGAGACGUUCUAUUCUACCAAUCUUGCACCCUUCACUGGAAUCAGUUACAACUCCUUUACGCACACCUGAUUUCUUCUUUGUUUUUAAUAGAUUCAAAGAACCCCACAAAAUCUCUGAGCUCUAGAUCUUGCAUUACGUGAUCUCCCGGAGAGGUUAGGAUCUAAGAACCCCACAAUAUAUUUGAGCGCUGAAUCUAUAUAUAGAGAGAUCUAAAUAUAUAUUGUAUUCAUGGUUCUUAGACAGGGUCCUUUUCUGAGACAUAACUUUUUGUUCCGUCCGUCCAAGAGCCAGAAGAAAGGCACAAACAGAGAACCGAGAACAGCUUCUUACAGCAUUCCCAAACCCUUUUCUUGAUGCCAUUCCUGGAUUUUUUACAGCUUUAAAGAUCAGAACACGAUUAAAAAAAACACCUAAAAGCGUAUAACUCUUUGUUUCCUUGACCUUACCUUGAAAGUAUGUACACAUUCCCUUGAAGUGAGAUCUUCAGAGAAGACUGAGAAGAGAAUUUCUUGAAAAUAACAUGGAGGAGAAAACUAAUAGCACAUGAACGAUGCUUCACACUUUGUGACAAAAGCCUCUCAGUAGUAUUACACAAAUCCCAAAGAAAACCAGCUGCAAUAUUCUCCACCUUUGGAGCUGCCCGGGGACUUUGAAAGCAGCAUUCAGUAUCAGGUUAAGGAGAUGGCACGAAAGUGGAAUCGGAAAUGACUCAGACAAAGAUCCAAUGUAGUUUUCAACCAUAUCAUUUGUACUCAAAGAGUCAAGAAACAAUAUCUCUCCCCAUUUAAUGAAAUCAGAUUCUUCGUGUUGAAGCAUUCCCAUCGAAACACCAACUGAUUUCAGAAAAAAAAAGGCACCAAGCUCACUUCCAAUACAACCAAUGCACUUGUCCCCGUCACAACUUCAAAGAACAAUUGAACAAUCUGAUAGAGUCAAAGACAUGAUGAUCAAAUAAGCUCAAAAGGAGAUGUGAGUUUGGGCUUAUUAAUAGACAACAUGAGGAGGAAGAUUCACCUUAUUAAGAGUGGCCAUUGGGGCUUUAGAUACCGAAGAUGGAACCGGCGGAAACUGCAGCAUCGAUGAGGAACCGUCGAGAGAAUCGAAGACAACUAACAACUAUGUAGUUGCAGGAGCAAUAGUUGGAUCAAGAAAUCAGCGAGGUCGAAAAUGGAUUUCGUCAUAUCUUGCUUCCCUAUAGAAAAGCAUUUAUAUCAAUUAGUAUUAGAUGAUUCCCAGAUUUUGACAAUACAAAAAAUGCACUUUCUGAAAAUCUAUACAUAUAAAGGUUUACGGGAUUCUGUAUAUAAACGCACUCUGUGAAUUUGCCAUUCUACUGAAAAGAAUUUUCUAGUGUUUUUUCAGGAGUAGUGAAGAUGAGUUUUAAAAGGUGAAAGCUUACCAUCUUAUAGCUGGAGAUCACCGCCUUGAAGAGAUGCAUUGAAUGUGUAAUCGUGAUUGGAAUGGGUGUAAAGAGUUGAGAAUGUCGUCAAUGCCGUUGAAUCUAUGCUUCAUGUGACGGUUCAAAGGAGAUGACACGGAACGACGCAAACGGAGCUCCACCCAAAGAUGCGUCCCACACAAUAUUAUAGAACAUCAAUUGUCGAUUGACCUAAUUGGUGCUCGAUCAAAACGAAGAAUCCUAGAUACCAACCGUCAUCAUUCUUGAAGAAGUCGAAGGGGAUUACGGCAAAGCUUUAGUUUUGAUUUCAGCCCAAAAAAAAUUAUUCAAAGCCUAUAUUGCCAAGCCGAUCCGAUUGCCGAGUUAAUGAAAUGACGUAUAGGUGGGACACGUGUCGAGACCAUGACACUCGAAUUAAUGACGUGACGCUGACGUGGUCUCACAUGAGAAAAGGAAACUCUAUUUUAUAUAUAUAGAUUUUGAUUUAUUGUAUUUUAAUACUAUACCUAAAUAUAUAAGCUUUUUCUUCUUUUUAUAGCAUUAUGUAUAUGUAGCUUGUAACAAAGGUUCGGUCUACAUCGGAUCUGAAAUUGCAGUCCACAACACACGCACACAAAUAGCAAAACUUAAAAAAAAACGAGUAUAGUUUGGUAUUAACUUUCAUUUGAUGUAAUUUGGUUUGAUGUCAAGUUUAUGUGAUUUUUCUGAUGUAAAAAUGCUACAUAAACGUUCUUAGCAGAAAGAAUUUCGCUGUUUUUGAUGAGUUAACGAUUAAGUGUCGUGGAUACAAAGCUUAUAACUUUUCAAAAAGUUAGUACUCUAAUUUCGAAAAAUUUUAAGCAGCACAUCAUUUUCCAAACUUAAAGCUAAAGUUAGCACAUAUUGAGCAGGGCCUUAAAGGCCUGGCUCGGUAUUUGGUAUUUCAGGUUAACAGAAUUACAUGCAUUUCCUGGGCUCCGGCUCUUGCUAUUCAGUUACAUAUCCAUAAAUUUGUUUGGGUCCAGACAUAAUAGUCCGAGGGGAAAAUGAUAAGAAUAUGUAAAUUUAAUUUUCAACAGUUGGCUUUACUUUUUUCUUUUGGUAUGUAUACUGUAUAGAUGUGGUUGUAUCUAUAAGCUAUAAUGCACUGAAUUUAUACUUGAAGAAAAUAUACAACUACUAACUUGUGUAGAAUAUGAUGUACACGCAUACGCUUGAGUGCCAGCAAUAUUUUUCUUUUGUAUCUGUUGUGGUAUUGUCAAUGUUAGGUGAACAUGAAAUAGACAAAACAUGUCAUGUUAGCCUAGUUUGUUCAUAAGAAUAUUUAAGGUUUAUUAUUUAAUACUAUUGCAUAUUUCAGUGUAUUUGACGUCUUUUCAAUGAGAAGAGUACUAAUAAUAUUUUUGAUAACCAAUUACCUACAUCAUGCAAAAUAGUCCAAGUAGUCAACUCUUUUUCAUGUAUUAUACGAUUGUCAUAAAUUGUCAGAAGGAUUCACUUUUAAUUUGGAAAUUAUUCAGAAGUUGAAUCUUUCUUUUAUCAAAAUCACAGGCACAAUAGUUAUUGACGGCAAAAAAAUAUAUUUCAAAUAGAUAAUCGGUAACAAAAACAACAAACUAAAAGAAAGGGUGAGAUAGAUAACCCAAGGUUAUUAGAUUUAUCACUUUAACCAUUCUUCUUUUUGGUUAUAAAGGUUUGCAUAUUUGCACAACAGUACUGUAUUUGAUGAGUUUCACAUGAAAAUUAAACAUAGAGUACACUAAUGGAAGCCCAUUGCUCCCGACUUCAAGGCAGGUGCAUCUGGUGGCGGUGAAGGUAAAACGGUUAACGCUAAUACUCCACUAAUGGCCGCUGCGAUUGCUCCGACCACAAAUACCGGUAGGUUUCCACCACCGAAGAGGGCGUCAAAAGAUCCUC